UAUGGAAGGACACUCAAAAACCAGGAGACCAAUUUUUCCAAUCAGAGCUAGUGGAACUGGAGCCCAGAGUGCAAACACGCAUGAUGAUCUGUUUGCAGAGCUGCUACAGACCCAGAUGAUUGAUAGGGAAUGUUAAGAAGGAAGAAAACUGGCAUGAGGCCCUCCUCCCCUCCUUGAUGAUGGAGAAGCAGUCACACACACUGGAGCAUAAAGGAAUCACCACUGUCAUGCAGACAAGAUCAAGGUGCCUGUUCCAGACUCGUGGAGAGGAGCUUCCUCCCACUCACCAGCCAGCAUGACUCUGAUGAAGCCAGACCCUCUCCCAUGGGAGAAGACAACUGCACUGUGAGGCCCUGCCACCAGCCCUGUCACUCAGGCUCUGCCAUGCCAGAGAACAGAUGUCUGCUCUCAGCCCUAAUGCAUUGUGGACCUAAUCAGUUCUUAGAUUAUCACUCUAAUUCCUGUAACUGCUUCCACUUCAUCCAGGAAAAGAAGACAGGUGAGAGAUGAAUCUGUGAGAAAGGAGUAACCUUUACACAACCAUUCUGGGUGGCAGGUAUAUGCUGACUCAUGGAAUUAUGAAAAGAUAUAGAUGAUGUAGUUCUGAAAAUAGCACUGUAUUUAUGAACAAGUCUCUGAGAGUUUAUGGCAUGAUUAAAUCUAGCGAUUAAAGUUUCUUAUGCAAAACCUUCUGUCAGGAACGGCUGAGCAAUCCAUGUAUUCCGAAGCAUAGAUACUGUUUUCUCCCAUAACAUCUGACACAAGAGAUUUCCAUUUUAGAUGUGUGAUUCGUUAUUUAAAGACAAAGCAAGAGGUUUACUUUUUGCUAUUGAGCUUAAAGGUUCAUCACAGUUUUAAGAUAAAUGUGAAAAAGAAUACGCAAACAGAAUUAAAUGUAAGUGAAUAAGUUGAGCAGUGGUGCUUAAGGGCUGUGAGUUGUCAAAUCUACCCCCACCAUUAUCAGUGUUUAUGAGUAUCUGAAGAAUAUGAACAAAGAGAAGCAUGAGAAAUUGAUUAAGGAAGGCAUCUAAAGAAAUGGUACAAUAUUAAGCAAACAAGAUUUAGAAAGAAAAUUGGGAAAAGAUUCCUAAUGACGAAAAUUUCCUUACUGAAGGGUAACUCCACAAUGGAACUUCUGUAAUGUCUAUUGUUCCAAUCAUUUGAAAAUGAACUUGAAUGAAGUACAGGCAGAUUUAUCUAAAGACAUAAUUAGUCUUUUACA
Molecule: long non-coding RNA, 1222 nt
Filed under: Anser brachyrhynchus (Pink-footed goose)
Lineage: Eukaryota; Metazoa; Chordata; Aves; Anseriformes; Anatidae
Description: lncRNA (ENSABRG00000016550.1)
Source: RNAcentral